RNAcentral lists this ribosomal RNA (204 nucleotides) under Staphylococcus equorum subsp. equorum. Its description in RNAcentral is "partial 16S ribosomal RNA". It matches the Rfam family "Bacterial small subunit ribosomal RNA", at positions 327 to 523 of the family's 1533-position model. Lineage: Bacteria; Bacillati; Bacillota; Bacilli; Caryophanales; Staphylococcaceae. RNAcentral also lists the same sequence under 1 other name. The record is from RNAcentral.
CGGUCCAGACUCCUACGGGAGGCAGCAGUAGGGAAUCUUCCGCAAUGGACGAAAGUCUGACGGAGCAACGCCGCGUGAGUGAUGAAGGUUUUCGGAUCGUAAAACUCUGUUAUUAGGGAAGAACAAAUGUGUAAGUAACUGUGCACAUCUUGACGGUACCUAAUCAGAAAGCCACGGCUAACUACGUGCCAGCAGCCGCGGUAA